GGCGACCGGCGCACGGGUGAGUAACACGUAUCCAACCUACCGGUUAUUCCGGGAUAGCCUUUCGAAAGAAAGAUUAAUACCGGAUAGUAUAACGAGAAGGCAUCUUCUUGUUAUUAAAGAAUUUCGAUAACCGAUGGGGAUGCGUUCCAUUAGUUUGUUGGCGGGGUAACGGCCCACCAAGACAUCGAUGGAUAGGGGUUCUGAGAGGAAGGUCCCCCACAUUGGAACUGAGACACGGUCCAAACUCCUACGGGAGGCAGCAGUGAGGAAUAUUGGUCAAUGGACGAGAGUCUGAACCAGCCAAGUAGCGUGAAGGAUGACUGCCCUAUGGGUUGUAAACUUCUUUUAUAUGGGAAUAAAGUGAGCCACGUGUGGCUUUUUGUAUGUACCAUACGAAUAAGGAUCGGCUAACUCCGUGCCAGCAGCCGCGGUAAUACGGAGGAUCCGAGCGUUAUCCGGAUUUAUUGGGUUUAAAGGGAGCGUAGGCGGACUAUUAAGUCAGCUGUGAAAGUUUGCGGCUCAACCGUAAAAUUGCAGUUGAUACUGGUCGUCUUGAGUGCAGUAGAGGUAGGCGGAAUUCGUGGUGUAGCGGUGAAAUGCUUAGAUAUCACGAAGAACUCCGAUUGCGAAGGCAGCUUACUG
RNAcentral lists this ribosomal RNA (642 nucleotides) under uncultured Bacteroidales bacterium. Its description in RNAcentral is "bacterial SSU rRNA". It matches the Rfam family "Bacterial small subunit ribosomal RNA", at positions 90 to 731 of the family's 1533-position model. Lineage: Bacteria; Pseudomonadati; Bacteroidota; Bacteroidia; Bacteroidales. The record is from RNAcentral.